CCUACGGGAGGCAGCAGUGAGGAAUAUUGGUCAAUGGGCGCGAGCCUGAACCAGCCAAGUAGCGUGAAGGAUGACUGCCCUCGGGGUUGUAAACUUCUUUUAUAAAGGAAUAAAGUGUGGCACGUGUGGCAUUUUGUAUCUACUUUAUGAAUAAGGAUCGGCUAACUCCGUGCCAGCAGCCGCGGUAAUACGGAGGAUCCGAGCGUUAUCCGGAUUUAUUGGGUUUAAAGGGAGCGUAGAUGGGUUGUUAAGUCAGUUGUGAAAGUUUGCGGCUCAACCGGAAAAUUGCAAUUGAUACUGGCAGUCUUGAGUACAGUAGAGGUAGGCGGAAUUCGUGGUGUAGCGGUGAAAUGCUUAGAUAUCACGAAGAACUCCGAUUGCGAAGGCAGCUUACUAGACUGCAACUGACAUUGAGGCUCGAAAGUGUGGGUAUCAAACAGGAUUAGAUACCCCAGUAGUC
Molecule: ribosomal RNA, 460 nt
Filed under: uncultured bacterium
Lineage: Bacteria
Description: partial 16S ribosomal RNA
Rfam family: Bacterial small subunit ribosomal RNA
Source: RNAcentral